RNAcentral lists this ribosomal RNA (479 nucleotides) under uncultured bacterium. Its description in RNAcentral is "partial 16S ribosomal RNA". It matches the Rfam family "Bacterial small subunit ribosomal RNA", at positions 28 to 507 of the family's 1533-position model. The record is from RNAcentral.
GAUGAACGCUAGCGGGAGGCCUAACACAUGCAAGCCGAGCGGUAUUGUUUCUUCGGAAAUGAGAGAGCGGCGUACGGGUGCGUAACACGUGUGCAACCUGCCUUUAUCUGGGGGAUAGCCUUUCGAAAGGAAGAUUAAUACUCCAUAAUAUAUUGAACGGCAUCGUUUAAUAUUGAAAGCUCCGGCGGAUAAAGAUGGGCACGCGCAAGAUUAGCUAGUUGGUGAGGUAACGGCUCACCAAGGCGAUGAUCUUUAGGGGGCCUGAGAGGGUGAUCCCCCACACUGGUACUGAGACACGGACCAGACUCCUACGGGAGGCAGCAGUGAGGAAUAUUGGUCAAUGGGUGCAAGCCUGAACCAGCCAUCCCGCGUGAAGGACGACUGCCCUAUGGGUUGUAAACUUCUUUUGUAUAGGGAUAAACCUACCCUCGAGAGGGUAGCUGAAGGUACUAUACGAAUAAGCACCGGCUAACUCCGUG